Long non-coding RNA from Homo sapiens (human), 659 nucleotides. RefSeq annotates it as long independently transcribed non-coding RNA 1888. The record is from RefSeq and is marked validated. NCBI's taxonomy places the organism in Eukaryota, Metazoa, Chordata, Mammalia, Primates, Hominidae. The transcript is spliced from 2 exons.
ACUCGUGCCUUUGGCGACACAAUGACUCUGCAAAUUGUCCUGUGCCCAGAGGAAACAUUUUUCUGAAAACUUCUGCGCUGGGGCAGAUUUAGGGCAAAGUUAACACUUCAAAAAUAUCUCCAGUAAUUGAGUAAAUUGCUCAUCUGUCAAAUUGGCUCUUUGGCAAAUUACUCUGCUUGCACAUAUUAAUAGCCAAGCUUAGCCAACUUGAAAUAUGGAGAUUUACUGGAAAUCACAGUGAAGUGAAGAGAGAGGCAAGAGCAGAAUUGAAAUUCCCACCUGGCAGCAAAAGAGAGUUAUGCAGAGCCUAUCAGGACCCGUGUUCACACCAGCACUUAGUUUGGAGGAAGCACCUGGAGGAGAUGCAGAGUCCAGAUGUGCGCCCUCUGCCGGAAGCCUACUGCACCAGGACGUAGGCCUGGAGUGGCCCUUAACGCAUUUGGAAAUCAGUCUUCACUAAAAAAACUUCCUCCAAAAUGUUCUUUAACAGCCCUUUAAAAGCCAUUGUUUCAAAACAGUCCAAGGUGGUGAACAAUUAAUAUUUUCGAUUUACAUGAAGACUCUGGAGUAGGAAUUACCUGAGUUGGAAACUCAGUUCUACUCUAUUGGUAUCAGGUUGCAUUCUGUAUCAUCAUUAAAAUUUUCAGAAAAACUCUCAA